Molecule: ribosomal RNA, 414 nt
Filed under: uncultured microorganism
Description: bacterial SSU rRNA
Rfam family: Archaeal small subunit ribosomal RNA
Source: RNAcentral
CAGCCGCCGCGGUAAUACCGGCGGCCCGAGUGGUGGCCGCUAUUAUUGGGCCUAAAGCGUCCGUAGCCGGGCCCGUAAGUCCCUGGCGAAAUCCCACGGCUCAACCGUGGGGCUUGCUGGGGAUACUGCGGGCCUUGGGACCGGGAGAGGAGGGGGGUACCCCUGGGGUAGGGGUGAAAUCCUAUAAUCCCAGGGGGACCGCCAGUGGCGAAGGCGCCCCGCUGGAACGGGUCCGACGGUGAGGGACGAAGGCCAGGGGAGCAAACCGGAUUAGAUACCCGGGUAGUCCUGGCUGUAAAGGAUGCGGGCUAGGUGUCGGGUGAGCUUCGGGCUCGCCCGGUGCCGUAGGGAAGCCGUUAAGCCCGCCGCCUGGGGAGUACGGCCGCAAGGCUGAAACUUAAAGGAAUUGGCGGG